CUGGCAUCAUCAUCACAUCAACUUUUGAAACCAGAAACUGUGGACAACUAUCAAUUAAAUUAAACAAAGAUCCAACUCUACACAGAGUUUCAGGCUCUUAGCCUUUUCAGUCCGUCAAAUUCUACAAAAGNNNNNNNNNACCAAAGGAGAAAAUAAAAACAGAAAAAAAAAAACACUGGAAACAGAUUCAAGGACCAUCU
This 200-nucleotide unclassified non-coding RNA is filed under the name Hevea brasiliensis (rubber tree). Lineage: Eukaryota; Viridiplantae; Streptophyta; Magnoliopsida; Malpighiales; Euphorbiaceae. The record is from RNAcentral.